GGGGUUGUGGCUCAGUGGUAGAGCACUUGCCUAGCACAUGCAAGGCGCUGAGUUCGAUCCUCUGCAACACAU
This 72-nucleotide transfer RNA is filed under the name Ictidomys tridecemlineatus (thirteen-lined ground squirrel). RNAcentral's name for it is "Spermophilus tridecemlineatus (thirteen-lined ground squirrel) tRNA". It matches the Rfam family "tRNA". Rfam says of the family: Transfer RNA (tRNA) molecules are approximately 80 nucleotides in length. The record is from Rfam by way of RNAcentral. Lineage: Eukaryota; Metazoa; Chordata; Mammalia; Rodentia; Sciuridae.